Molecule: non-coding RNA, 492 nt
Organism: Phascolarctos cinereus (koala)
Lineage: Eukaryota; Metazoa; Chordata; Mammalia; Diprotodontia; Phascolarctidae
Source: RefSeq, a predicted model, not a curated record
GGAGUUGUGAUUUCAUUAGAAUAGAACUCCCACUAUGGAAAUUCCUACCAUUUGUGUAAAUCAGCAGCUGGAAAGGGAAAUAGUCUGUUAUCUUCAAAGCAAUCAUGGGAUCAUCAUUCUUUUGGUGAUUGACUCUCAGGAAUGAUUGGGUCCAAUGACGGCAGAAAGAAUAACACCUAAGGGAACUGAAAUCUCUCCUAAAAUGGAAAUGUGGAAACUGCAGGCACUGAAGCUAAAUUUUGAGAGUAUAAAGACAACAUCGUGACAGUUCUUGCCCUCAAGAAGCUUACAAAAGUUCUUCAAUCAAACUCAGCUGGUCUACCUAUGUACAUUUCUCCUUCUACACCUGUCCCUACCUAGAAGACAUGAUGCAUGUUGAGGAAAAGAAUUAGAAAUACCUUCUUUUGCAUUAAACUGCUGGUGUAAGGUUGUGUGACCCAAUACUUCUUUAUUUUAUCAAUGAUGCAUAUUUGCCAUGCUAGUAAUGAAAUC